Long non-coding RNA from Oncorhynchus keta (chum salmon), 632 nucleotides. RefSeq lists it as uncharacterized. The transcript has 3 exons. The record is from RefSeq and is a predicted model, not a curated record. Lineage: Eukaryota; Metazoa; Chordata; Actinopteri; Salmoniformes; Salmonidae.
UUCCAGGGGGAAAGGUAUCAGUGUUACACAGCAACAGCAUAUAACUACAUAUAUGAAGGCCUGGUCAAACAACAUCCCCUUUCCCUUUCCUUUCCAUCUAAAAGGAAUGGAUAAAUCACCUUUCCGGUUCUUUCAGAUCUGCAAACACCAAAAAGUCUCUCUUUUAUCACCCUCCUGGUUUUGACCCUUGCCUGUCCUGACUCUGAGCCCGCCUACCUGACCACUAUGCCUGCCCCUGACCCUGAGACUGCCUGCCGACCUGUCCCUUUGCCCCCCUCUGGAUCACCGACCUCUGCCUUACCCUGAGCCUGCCUGCCGUCCGGGAAAGCCACGGACACAGUAGAGAUGACCAGGGAUGUUCAGUUGAUAAGUGCUUGGAUUUCACAAUUUUCCUGUCCUGCUGUAAGGUUCUGCUUUUCUUUUCUUAAGUCAACCUUGUGUUCUUUUUCUUGUGUUCUUGAACAUAGCCCUGUUUAUUUGUGUUCUGGAACGUAGCCCUGUCUUUCAUUUUUGGUCAUUGAUUUCACCUGUGUUUGUUUCUCACUAGCUCCUUAUUUAGUUAAUUUAUUUCUGUUUGUAUGGUUGUGAGGUAUUGUUUGUUUUUGACUGCCUACCUGUGUUUGACCAUUGCC